RNAcentral lists this ribosomal RNA (119 nucleotides) under Lepisosteus oculatus (spotted gar). Lineage: Eukaryota; Metazoa; Chordata; Actinopteri; Semionotiformes; Lepisosteidae. The record is from RNAcentral.
GUCAGCAGACAUAUCGCCCUGCAACCCACAGCUAGCAACCCACUGAAUCAAAGCAGAAGUGAGCCUGGUCAGUACCUGGAUGGGAGACCACCUGGGAAAAAUUAAGGUUGCUGCUGUAA